CCUACGGGGUGCAGCAGUGAGGAAUAUUGGUCAAUGGGCUUACGCCUGAACCAGCCAAGUCGCGUGAGGGAAGACUGCCCUAUGGGUUGUAAACCUCUUUUGUCAGGGAGCAAUUGGCGCUACGUGUAGCGUUAUCGAGAGUACCUGAAGAAAAAGCAUCGGCUAACUCCGUGCCAGCAGCCGCGGUAAUACGGAGGAUUCAAGCGUUAUCCGGAUUUAUUGGGUUUAAAGGGUGCGUAGGCGGUCGGAUAAGUUAGAGGUGAAAUCCCGAGGCUCAACUUCGGAAUUGCCUCUGAUACUGUUCGGCUAGAGAGUAGUUGCGGUAGGCGGAAUGUAUGGUGUAGCGGUGAAAUGCUUAGAGAUCAUACAGAACUCCGAUUGCGAAGGCAGCAUACCGGCGCCCAACUGACGCUGAAGCACGAAGGCGUGGGUAUCGAACAGGAUUAGAUACCCGAGUAGUC
Molecule: ribosomal RNA, 461 nt
Filed under: uncultured bacterium
Lineage: Bacteria
Description: partial 16S ribosomal RNA
Rfam family: Bacterial small subunit ribosomal RNA
Source: RNAcentral